GUCUGAGUGGCGGAAUUGGUAGACGCGUGCGAUUCAGGUUCGUAUGGUGAAAACCUUGUGGGUUCAAGUCCCAUCUCGGACA
RNAcentral lists this transfer RNA (82 nucleotides) under Candidatus Avigastranaerophilus faecigallinarum. RNAcentral's name for it is "tRNA-Leu". It matches the Rfam family "tRNA". Rfam says of the family: Transfer RNA (tRNA) molecules are approximately 80 nucleotides in length. Their secondary structure includes four short double-helical elements and three loops (D, anti-codon, and T loops). The record is from RNAcentral. Lineage: Bacteria; Bacillati; Candidatus Melainabacteria; Candidatus Gastranaerophilales; Candidatus Gastranaerophilaceae.